RNAcentral lists this long non-coding RNA (300 nucleotides) under Solanum tuberosum (potato). Its description in RNAcentral is "long non-coding RNA (STUB_LNC011718)". The record is from RNAcentral. Lineage: Eukaryota; Viridiplantae; Streptophyta; Magnoliopsida; Solanales; Solanaceae.
UAAUAGAUUAGGGGGGUUUUAGACCAUUUUCUCAAUAAAGUGACUCAAUGUAUGAAAGAAAGACAUCAAAUCCAAGAAGAUUUGUGGUGGACUGAACAAAAAUAGUUCACCCUCAAAUCUGAACGUAAGCAUAAGCUAAUUACAGGAUCGUGUAGACGUCUUUGAAUCAUAGUAUGCACUCAAAAGAAAGUGCAUGAGUAGCAUCAACACAAAUAUUAUGUGUUGAUAGACAUCAUAGGCCGACUAAUAAGAUCAGUAACAAGUAUAUAAUUACAAUUAUAAAACAAAUAGACAGAUUCA